CCCACAUAUGACAGUCUGUACUAUCUGCAACAUAAAUCCAACGCACCUCUCCAGUAAGGUGGCCUAUGCACCGUCAGUGCCCUGCCCACUGUUUUAAUUUGCUGUCAUGCUGAACUUCUCAUUUGCUAAAAUUAGCUACCGCUGCUACUUCUGCUAUGCAGCAUUGAAAUAAACAAGCUAGCUAGCCAACAGUCUGGUCAUGUAGCUUCAGGACACUUUGUGGAGGAAUAAUCUGUUUAUACAGUUGUGGUAUUAUCAUCUGUUGGCUUCAAACACACGCAGAAGACAGAGUUUCCGGUGGCCAUGUUGGCAGCUCGGGACUACAUUCUUCCUAAAGGAAUGAUACUCUGGCAGUCAUGCCACUGCUUCACUGCAUCAAGGGGUUCGGCGACAGAGACGCAGAACAGGAGCGGAUGAAUGGCGAAUGAGGUCCCUGGCGGGGCCUUAGCUCUGGAGUGUCGACCGAAGGACCCCAGAGCUGCUGCCGUGAUUGGAUAACUCACCGAAAACAGGACUCCCAGGAUAAGAGCAUGCGGUCUGAGGCUUGGACCAAGAGUAUCAAGGACAUGCAGUUCAGAGCGUUGGACAAACGUGGACAGAGGAGGUUCAGAUCCUGACUCUGCAUUUAUUUGUUUGCAGACUGAAAUGAACUGCUAACUAACAAGCAGUGUCGGCUCACUGUUGCUUGGCAUGUGCACAGUAUUUAUUUUUUUUAAUGAUCAUUUUGAAACUAUAUUAAAACCUGGCAGAUUUCAUGGAGCUACUGCCUGUACUGAUGUCUUUAAUGAAGUUUGAGUUGUUGCCCUUCAUUAAUGGCAUUAUAAUUUGCCCUUUAAUUUAAUCACAGUGAAAGCAAAAGAUAGUGAUCCAUAUAAAAACAUGUCACA
Long non-coding RNA from Siniperca chuatsi (mandarin fish), 887 nucleotides. RefSeq lists it as uncharacterized. The transcript is spliced from 2 exons. Lineage: Eukaryota; Metazoa; Chordata; Actinopteri; Centrarchiformes; Sinipercidae. The record is from RefSeq and is a predicted model, not a curated record.